AUACGGAGGGUGCAAGCGUUACUCGGAAUUACUGGGCGUAAAGGACGCGUAGGCGGUUUUUAAAGUCAGAUGUGAAAGCCUAUGGCUUAACCAUAGAACUGCAUCUGAAACUCCUAGACUAGAGUGAGGGAGAGGUCAGUGGAAUUAGUGGUGUAGGGGUAAAAUCCGUAGAGAUCACUAGGAAUACUCAUAGCGAAGGCGACUGACUGGAACUUUACUGACGCUGAGGCGUGAAAGCGUGGGGAGCAAACAGGAUUAGAUACCCCAGUAGUCC
Molecule: ribosomal RNA, 274 nt
Filed under: uncultured bacterium
Lineage: Bacteria
Description: partial 16S ribosomal RNA
Rfam family: Bacterial small subunit ribosomal RNA
Source: RNAcentral